AUUGAACGCUGGCGGCAGGCCUAACACAUGCAAGUCGAACGGCAGCACAGAAGAGCUUGCUCUUUAGGUGGCGAGUGGCGGACGGGUGAGUAAUGUCUGGGAAACUGCCCGAUGGAGGGGGAUAACUACUGGAAACGGUAGCUAAUACCGCAUAACGUCGCAAGACCAAAGUGGGGGACCUUCGGGCCUCACACCAUCGGAUGUGCCCAGAUGGGAUUAGCUAGUAGGUGGGGUAAUGGCUCACCUAGGCGAAGAUCCCUAGCUGGUCUGAGAGGAUGACCAGCCACACUGGAACUGAGACACGGUCCAGACUCCUACGGGAGGCAGCGGUGGGGAAUAUUGCACAAUGGGCGCAAGCCUGAUGCAGCCAUGCCGCGUGUAUGAAGAAGGCCUUCGGGUUGUAAAGUACUUUCAGCGGGGAGGAAGGCGGUGAGGUUAAUAACCUUGCCGAUUGACGUUACCCGCAGAAGAAGCACCGGCUAACUCCGUGCCAGCAGCAGCCGCAG
This 506-nucleotide ribosomal RNA is filed under the name uncultured bacterium. Its description in RNAcentral is "partial 16S ribosomal RNA". It matches the Rfam family "Bacterial small subunit ribosomal RNA", at positions 30 to 523 of the family's 1533-position model. The record is from RNAcentral.